GGUUGGACGGUAUUUCUUAAUAUCGUUUUCAAGAACGAACUUCUUGGGUGGGAAGUC
Molecule: regulatory RNA element, 57 nt
Organism: Anaerocolumna xylanovorans DSM 12503
Lineage: Bacteria; Bacillati; Bacillota; Clostridia; Lachnospirales; Lachnospiraceae
Rfam family: Na+ riboswitch aptamer (DUF1646)
About the family: Proteobacteria, NC10, Acidobacteria, Verrucomicrobia. Lineage (Clostridia) The riboswitch of Na+ was first reported in a comparative analysis of intergenic regions and called DUF1646 RNA, it was also suggested that it acts as cis-reg RNA present upstream of Na+ genes.
Source: Rfam